AUGCCUCUAAGUCGUGCUCCAACACGUGGGAGAUACGCAUCAUGGGUGCUACAGCCUUCCACGCCAAGGAGAGUCCCAUCCGGACACGAGACGAAGUCUUCAAUCUUGUAUCUUCAUAGUCCAACAGUCCGGCCAAAGGAUAUAGUCCAGCUGUCCGGAGACCCCCUAAUCCAGGACUCCCUCACCACCUACAAAGUGAACAAGUUAUCCCAUGCAGCGAGGCUCGGGCUUAUUAAUUCUGUGUUUGCCUCCAUCCCUGUCUAUUACAUGUCCAAUAUCCUUUUCACUAAAAAAUUCCUAGCAAAGCUCACUUCCAUCAUCAGAAACUUCUGGUGGGUUGGAAUUAGAGAGGAGCCAGGUGCUAGAGCUAUGUGUCUUAGGGCUUGGAAGGAUCUUUGUACUCCUAAGAAGGAGGGUGGCCUUGGUAUUAAAAACAUGCUUGCUGUGAAUCAAGGCCUACUUCUUGCCUCGGCUUGGAGGCUUGCUGAAAACCCUGAAGGGCAUCUCCAUAAAAUUCUUAAGUCUAAAUAUUUUCCCGAUUCUUCCAUUUGGAGAGCUUCUGCUAACAUCCCAAAAUCUGCUUUCUGGUCCUCCAUUCUUAAAGUGAUGCCUAUGCUUAAAUCUCAUGCUUUUAUUCAGAUUUCACAGGGGAAUAGUUCUAUUUGGAGUACUCCUUGGUGUGCUUCCUGGGAAGAUAUUUAUGAUCAUCUCAUAAUUCAGCAUAGAAAUUACAUUUACCCUACUAAGAUCUCUGAUCUUUGGCUUCCUGGACAAAAACCUAGAAUGUGCAGCUAA
This 795-nucleotide ribosomal RNA is filed under the name Triticum aestivum (bread wheat). Its description in RNAcentral is "partial small subunit ribosomal RNA". The record is from RNAcentral. Lineage: Eukaryota; Viridiplantae; Streptophyta; Magnoliopsida; Poales; Poaceae.